This 71-nucleotide transfer RNA is filed under the name Loxodonta africana (African savanna elephant). It matches the Rfam family "tRNA". Rfam says of the family: Transfer RNA (tRNA) molecules are approximately 80 nucleotides in length. Their secondary structure includes four short double-helical elements and three loops (D, anti-codon, and T loops). The record is from Rfam by way of RNAcentral. Lineage: Eukaryota; Metazoa; Chordata; Mammalia; Proboscidea; Elephantidae.
GAGGUGGUGGUUCAAUAGUAGAAUUCUCUUCUUCCAUGUGGGAGACCCAAGUUUGAUUCCUGGCCAGCGCA